RNAcentral lists this ribosomal RNA (379 nucleotides) under uncultured bacterium. RNAcentral describes it as "bacterial SSU rRNA". It matches the Rfam family "Bacterial small subunit ribosomal RNA", at positions 430 to 793 of the family's 1533-position model. The record is from RNAcentral.
GUACUUUCAGUCGUGAGGAAGGUAGUGUAGUUAAUAGCUGCAUUACUUUGACGUUAGCGACAGAAGAAGCACCGGCUAACUCCGUGCCAGCAGCCGCGGUAAUACGGAGGGUGCGAGCGUUAAUCGGAAUUACUGGGCGUAAAGCGCAUGCAGGUGGUUUGUUUAAGUCAGAUGUGAAAGACCCGGGGCGUCAACCUCGGAAUAGCAUUUGAAACUGGCAGACUAGAGUACUGUAGAGGGGGGUAGGAAUUUCAGGUGUAGCGGUGAAAUGCGUAGAGAUCUGAAGGAAUACCGGUGGCGAAGGCGGCCCCCUCGGACAGAUACUGACACUCAGAUGCGAAAGCGUGGGGAGCCAAACAGGAUUAGAUACCCCUGGUAG